UCUAUUGAAAAAAUUGCAAUGUAUUGACAUUUUAUACGUGUUCUUAACAGAACUAUGAUGAUAAAUGCGCACGGAAUAACCGGAUCGGACCCGGGGGCGGUACCCGGCGGCUCCACCAUUUUUCUUAUGGGGCCGAAAUAGGAUCGACGAACGUGUAAAGGUGUCAGCUUUCAUUCGGUGGGGUACCGCUGUUAUCGGUCCAAAUUGCACAAUUGCCAAUGACAAUCGUGCUCCAUAUGCUCUAGCUGCGUAAAGCUAGCGUAAUAUGGAACUUUAAGUCUAUGACUCCGAUACACUGGUCAUAGCGGGGUUUGCAGGCACCUGUCUCCAGAAGCCUGCAUU
Molecule: transfer-messenger RNA, 342 nt
Filed under: Paracoccaceae bacterium
Lineage: Bacteria; Pseudomonadati; Pseudomonadota; Alphaproteobacteria; Rhodobacterales; Paracoccaceae
Description: Rhodobacteraceae bacterium transfer-messenger RNA
Rfam family: Alphaproteobacteria transfer-messenger RNA
About the family: Bacterial tmRNA, also known as 10Sa RNA or SsrA, is named for its dual tRNA and mRNA-like properties. Its role is to liberate the mRNA from a stalled ribosome.
Source: RNAcentral